RNAcentral lists this ribosomal RNA (253 nucleotides) under uncultured bacterium. Its description in RNAcentral is "partial 16S ribosomal RNA". It matches the Rfam family "Bacterial small subunit ribosomal RNA", at positions 524 to 776 of the family's 1533-position model. The record is from RNAcentral.
UACGUAGGGGGCAAGCGUUGUCCGGAUUUAUUGGGCGUAAAGAGCGUGUAGGCGGCUAGGUAGGUCCGUUGUGAAAACUCGAGGCUCAACCUCGAGACGUCGAUGGAAACCAUCUAGCUAGAGUCCGGAAGAGGAGAGUGGAAUUCCUGGUGUAGCGGUGAAAUGCGCAGAUAUCAGGAGGAGCACCGAUGGCGAAGGCAGCUCGCUGGGACGUGACUGACGCUGAGACGCGAAAGCGUGGGGAGCAAACAGG